This 492-nucleotide ribosomal RNA is filed under the name uncultured bacterium. Its description in RNAcentral is "partial 16S ribosomal RNA". It matches the Rfam family "Bacterial small subunit ribosomal RNA", at positions 29 to 507 of the family's 1533-position model. The record is from RNAcentral.
AGUGAACGCUGGCGGUAGGCCUAACACAUGCAAGUCGAACGGCAGCACAGUAAGAGCUUGCUCUUACGGGUGGCGAGUGGCGGACGGGUGAGGAAUACAUCGGAAUCUACUUUUUCGUGGGGGAUAACGUAGGGAAACUUACGCUAAUACCGCAUACGACCUCCGGGUGAAAGCAGGGGAUCUUCGGACCUUGCGCGAUUGCAUGAGCCGAUGUCGGAUUAGCUAGUUGGCGGGGUAAAGGCCCACCAAGGCGACGAUCCGAAGCUGGUCUGAGAGGAUGUUCACCCACACUGGAACUGAGACGCGGUCCAGACUCCUACGGGAGGCAGCAGUGGCGAAUAUUGGACAAUGGGCGCAAGCCUGAUCCAGCCAUACCGCGUGGGUGAAGAAGGCCUUCGGGUUGUAAAGCCCUUUUGUUGGGAAAGAAAAGCAGCAGGUUAAUACCCCGCUGUUCUGACGGUACCCAAAGAAUAAGCACCGGCUAACUUCGUG